Long non-coding RNA from Xyrauchen texanus (razorback sucker), 1136 nucleotides. RefSeq lists it as uncharacterized. Lineage: Eukaryota; Metazoa; Chordata; Actinopteri; Cypriniformes; Catostomidae. The record is from RefSeq and is a predicted model, not a curated record. The transcript has 4 exons.
AUUUCAAUGAGAGUGAAAGUGGCCUGAUAUUACAUGCAGAUGUGAGUGUUUUUAAAAUCUUUUGUUUCAUUUUAUCAAAUUUAUUUAUUUAUAUAUCAUUCUAAUUUUUUUGUUCUCUUUCAGGUUUCUGCGACUGCAGCUGAUGUAGAGAAGAUGCCACAUCUACCUGCCAGCCCUCGUCUCUAUGUGGGAGGGCAGAGAACUGUACUGAACGCUGGAUGAUUACCCUAGAGAGUCGUGUUGUUUGUGAGGGCAUACAACCAAGAUUCCUGACUGCAAUAGCAACCAUGUUUGCAAUGUUCUACGUCUUCAAUCUUAAGUAUCCAGAGGAGGCAUGUGGCACCUCGGAAUUCAUUCAAAGACGAUUCGUUGGGAUAAACCCUGAAAGAGGUACGAAGACCUGCAGAGGCAAGGUGGUUUCAAAGAAGACUGGAAAACUUGUCAGCAAGAAGUCUGCCACUGUCAAUCCCAAAGUUGCUUCUCUCCUGAAGAACCUCAUCGAUUUCGAAUGGAACUUCGUCUAGAUCUGGAUUUCCUCUCAGACCAGAUGUGUUAAAAGCUGAUGUGGGACGUUUUGCCAGUUUUUUUGCCUCUUCCUACGUUUUUUCACCAAUUGGUUCUCUUGUCCUCUCAGAUCGGGAUUUCCUCUCAGGCCAGAUGUUUCAAAAGCUGAGGUGGGACGUGUUGGCUGUUUUUUGCCUCUUCCUACAGUUUUUUCACCCAUUGGAUCUCUUGUCCUCUCAGGCCAGAUCUUUUGGCUGUUUUUUGCCUCUGUCAAGGAUUUUUCAUCCAUUGGUUCCUUAAUAUUUUCCUCUCAGACUCAGAAUUCCUCUCUUGCCUGGAUGCUGAUGUGACAUGUUGAAUGUAAGGUUUCUUUGUUUGCCUACUGUUUCCUCACAUUUUACAAUGUAUUUUCUGUGACUUUUUUCCCUUAACUGUUAAUGUAUUGUUAAAACUUGUUAGCUGUUUUAAAUAAAUGGCAAACAAUACUGUACCAUAAUGUAUAUUUUCUUCAUUUUUUCCAUUGAGUAAAUAUAGGGAUGUUAAUAGAUAUCGGACAAUAGAGUAAAUAUAAAACAGUAUUUAUAUUCUAACUUUUUAUACUAUAGAAUUAUAGCUGGAACCAUUACUGCCAG